UCCUUGGUGGCUCAGAUGGUAAAGCGUCUGCCUAUAAUGCAGGAGACCCAGGUUCGAUCCCUGGGUUGGGAA
This 72-nucleotide transfer RNA is filed under the name Bos taurus (domestic cattle). It matches the Rfam family "tRNA". From Rfam's summary of the family: Transfer RNA (tRNA) molecules are approximately 80 nucleotides in length. Their secondary structure includes four short double-helical elements and three loops (D, anti-codon, and T loops). The record is from Rfam by way of RNAcentral. RNAcentral also lists the same sequence under 5 other names. Lineage: Eukaryota; Metazoa; Chordata; Mammalia; Artiodactyla; Bovidae.